GUACUGAUGAAGAGUCCCAAACUAGGAUGAAACGACUGUCCAGUAC
Molecule: non-coding RNA, 46 nt
Organism: Trichobilharzia regenti
Lineage: Eukaryota; Metazoa; Platyhelminthes; Trematoda; Strigeidida; Schistosomatidae
Source: Rfam